Molecule: long non-coding RNA, 638 nt
Organism: Bufo gargarizans (Asiatic toad)
Lineage: Eukaryota; Metazoa; Chordata; Amphibia; Anura; Bufonidae
Exons: 10
Source: RefSeq, a predicted model, not a curated record
CCCUCGCACGCCAUGCACUGUCUCAUUGCUCGGCCUGCGGAGGAGAGGUGUUUGAAAGAUGUCUGACUUCUGGUUGCCCAUGUCCCCUGAUUUGGUGGCUUACAUGUGUGCUGCCCAUGAUAUGAGGGUCCUGGAGGAUGAUGUCCCCUGAUCUGAUAUUUGGAGGUGCUCCAUCACAUCAGCUUGCUACUGGAAGAUGAAGUAGGAGGACAUGAAGAUGCCUCUCCGUUGGUGUUGUCUAGCCAUGCAGUACAAGGAGUUGUACAAGUCAAAUCUGCAGGAGCCCUUCCCACGGAGGCUGGAAUAGUGAAGUUGAGCUAUUUGGAGGUGCUCCAUCACAUCAGGCUAAAUGUGUCCAUUGAAGGGUGGAGGUGACUUGCCUGGCAUUCCUUACUGUAUGCUGUUCCUGGUUUCUUAAUAAACAGUGAUGUAGAAAUUCUGUCUGACUCUUUCCUGAUCACAGUCCUGCAUUGGUUGGUCUACAACUACAAUAAUACUGUAUUGUGUUGUUUAAAUGUUCAAUGCAAAAGAAACUUGCAGCAGCUAAAGUGGAAGUAGUAAGUAGGUACAACUUUCCCAACAGCUGCUGCUACAUAACUUUCUUGCAUAGUGAGCAAUAAAGCUGUGAGUACACUGCA